CAGCUAGUUGGUGAGGUAACGGCUCACCAAGGCAACGAUCGGUAGCCGGCCUGAGAGGGUGAUCGGCCACACCGGAACUGAGACACGGUCCGGACUCCUACGGGAGGCAGCAGUGGGGAAUCUUGCGCAAUGGGCGAAAGCCUGACGCAGCAACGCCGCGUGGAGGAUGAAGGCCCUUGGGUUGUAAACUCCUGUCGGCUGGGAAGAAAUCGUUCGGGGUUAAUACCCCCGGACGUUGACUGUACCAGCAAAGGAAGCCCCGGCUAACUCUGUGCCAGCAGCCGCGGUAAUACAGAGGGGGCUAGCGUUAUUCGGAAUUAUUGGGCGUAAAGGGCGCGUAGGCGGCCUUGCAUGUCUCCCGUGAAAUCCCUCGGCUUAACCGAGGACGUGCGGGAGAAACUGCGAGGCUCGAGUCCGGGAGAGGGGGGUGGAAUUCCCAGUGUAGCGGUGAAAUGCGUAGAUAUUGGGAGGAACACCGGUGGCGAAGGCGGCCCCCUGGACCGGUACUGACGCUGAGGCGCGAAAGCGUGGGUAGC
RNAcentral lists this ribosomal RNA (536 nucleotides) under uncultured Acidobacteriota bacterium. RNAcentral's name for it is "SSU rRNA". It matches the Rfam family "Bacterial small subunit ribosomal RNA", at positions 242 to 769 of the family's 1533-position model. The record is from RNAcentral. Lineage: Bacteria; Pseudomonadati; Acidobacteriota.